UAGGUCGCCAAGCUUAAACUGUAAAGAACACACUUUUGAUGCCUCGGAGAUGCGAAAAAAUCUACCAACAUCUAUACGUAUAGCAUGUAUCCAUCUUCAUUUUCUCUUCGUCUGGAAUUUUAAAGAAUCCAAUUCGUUCUCCUUUGGUCCAACACGCCCUCUUUGCCUAUAUAAUGGUGCACAACAGUGAACAUUUGACUUCGGCGCCAUUUUUCUUACAAUGCCUCCUGAGCCUCGUUUUAGUAAACUCGGUUCAGGUCUCAACCUUGCGUCCGCCAUUUAUGAAUAGGGCGUAUAUUCAUGUAACUUUGCUGGUAUUGUGUUAGGAUAUUGUGUAAAUACUAAUGUGUUGAAAAUCUCCGAGGCAGUUGUCAAUCAUUUACGAAGACCCUAUGCAGUAAAUACAGUUAUUUGAAUUAUCAUUGAUUGACGACUGAUCUUUUCCUUUAGUUUUUUCUAAGCAAUCACCGAAAUUUGCCUACCUGGUAAUGUGGAACAAUCCCUCCUGUCAGCGUCGUGCGAUGCCAAAGAGAUUGUUCAUCAACUGAAGGAGAACCUGCAACUAAACAAAGACAUUUUUGAAAGGCCAGACUAUAACACCAAGAAAAUAGUCCGUAGUCUGGCACACAGAGCAAAAGAUUUAAAAAGGCUUGAUGUCUUCGAACAUUUAAGAGAGAUUGCACCGGCUGGAACUACUGGUCCUUUUUUGGCGGAAAACCUGCCUGUUCAAGAAAUGCCAACCACU
This is a long non-coding RNA of Pocillopora damicornis (cauliflower coral), 745 nucleotides long. The record is from RefSeq and is a predicted model, not a curated record. NCBI's taxonomy places the organism in Eukaryota, Metazoa, Cnidaria, Anthozoa, Scleractinia, Pocilloporidae.